Molecule: small RNA, 4694 nt
Filed under: Rattus norvegicus (Norway rat)
Lineage: Eukaryota; Metazoa; Chordata; Mammalia; Rodentia; Muridae
Description: uncharacterized LOC102549861
Source: RNAcentral
CAGUGGGUAAAGUGUUUGUUGUGCAAGCAUGAAGACCCAUGUUCAGAUCCUUAGCACCCACACAAAGAUUCAUGCAUGGUAGCCCACAGCAAAUGAAGCACCAGAAGCAAGCAGACCCAAGGGGCUUGCUGCCCAGCCAGACCAGCUGAACAGUGGUUCAGCAAGAGUCUCUGCCUUAAAAAACUAUAGUAAAGUGGGAUUCAGGGAUUGAGGAAGACACUUAAUGUUGACAGGUAUAGUAUACACAUAUACACACUGCCAUACAGGAACUGAAAGGAGUCAGUGGUUAGAACGCUUGUCUUACAGGUACAUGACCUCUUGUCUGAUACCUAAUACAACAAAAGAAAGAAAAAAGCCACAAGACCCAGAGAAUUCUUCUUGACACGCUCUGGUUUUAUCUACAGCAAUGCUAUUAAUCAUCUACACUUAGAGUAAUGGAAUUAUACACUUAAGUAAUGGAGGGUUUAGGAAGUGUAUAGAAGGUACUUCAGGGCUAAAUUGUCCCUUUUCUAGGGUUGAACACCCUGCAAGGAUGUGAACAAUGGGCACCCAUAAACCAAGUAUUACAUUCAAGAAGAAGUGGGUCUUCUAAUUCAAUAAGGGGAGAGACUCAGUUUUCUUGUCCCAGGGAUUGUUGGUGGUGUUAAAGGAUCAUUCUGGGGGGCAACCCAUUCAAUGAGAGUCCUGGCUGACAGCCUGGGAUCUCAGCAACCCCUAUAUACUUUCAGAGGCCCAAGUUUUGAGAUCAACACACCCUGCAACCCCAGGAAAGUCCUGCUGAGUCUUAGAUUUCCAACCAGUCAGGGGUAUGUUCCCUUCUAAAUGACUGCUGGUUCUGACCUCAUUCAGUGUGGGCACCUCCCAUCAUGUGAACAGUGACACCAAGGUCUGACAUGAGGGGUCAGCAUAGAGAAGGACCUUGAGGGAACCAGGUUGACAUUGAUGCCAUUGAAUUGAACGAAGGUGAACACUCUUCCUGUAAGCGCUGACAUCUUGAUGUUAUGAUUAUGAUGUUAACUUUAAAACCAACACAAAGGCUCAGAUACGAUGUUGCCUAUCAAUACAAUCCAAGGAUUUCCUCUGUUGUCAGCUAAGAAAAGCAGGAUUUCAUUAAAUGUUAAGGAAGUGGGCCAAGGAUGAAGCUGAGGCCAAUGCGGACCUCCCAGAAGCCCUGGGAAAUGGGGGAUAUUUUCAAUGGCUAUUUUUAACAGCACGCUAUUUUUAUCUUGCAGUAUACAAUGGGAUUCUAUAUUUUUAUGAUUUCACUUACCCAGUCUCACUGGGGUUUCCUGUGGUGAUCUUAUUCCUACCUCUGCUAGCAGAAGGUGCUGGGAGAGCAAGCAUUCCCUUCACACUUAGGGUCAUUCCUACUGCCUCCCCAGAGUUAGUCGGACUGAAGCCCUGCUAGAGGUAGAAACUAUACAAGCUCUUUGUCAAACGGCAGGGGGAAGGAUGUUUUCUGUGUGACUCAACCAUCCCAACCUUGGGUAUGCAGCCGCGGGAAGUUAAUGACACACAAAAGCUAAACCUGAAAUGCACGUGAUGCUGAUGGAUUAUUCACAAUAACCAAGACACGGGAGUCAGCUGGAGCGCACAUGUGCAGAAGAGUGGAAAGAGGAAAUCGAGAUGCACACAAUGGGAUACUUAUUAUUCUCCAUGAGCAAGAAUGGAAUCCUGCCAUCUGCAGCUGAAUGGUCGGACCCAAAGGAUACCGGGGUCAGAUAGGCAAGAAGUAUAUGUCGUCUCUUAGACAUGGAAACCAAAAGAGAAAAAUAAAUGACCUGAAAGUGAGAUAUAACUUAUGAGGGAAGGACUGGGAAGACUUUCAUGAUCCCGAGGAGAGACAAAUUACUGACUCCAAGGAGCUUCGCCAGCAGAAAGAUGGCACUCGGUGGCCUUCACCGAUGGGUUUCCAGUCUGUUCUGGGAUGCAAAGAGCAGAACUGAGACAUCUUCAGACAUCCAUCUGCCCUGAUGGCAUGGCUAGUUGGUUCUUGCUGUGACGAGAGUGAAACUGUCUUUUGAAACACCUGUUCUUCAAGCUCCAUGGCUGUGUGGGACUCCUUAGAUGCUGAGGUAAGAAUAAAAAACAAACAGAAUCCUCUUUUUUUGGAGCGGGGGGACAGGUUCUUACUCUACAGUCCAGUCUGCCCUUUGUAUGACUCAGUUUGUGUAGACCCUUGAACUCAUGACAAUCCAGAAUGGUCAGUCAAGCUCCUGGAUGCCUGAUUGCCUCCCCAGACUCCAGAACACAGCUUUGCUGACUAGCCGCAUGCCCCAACUCUUCAGAUAUUUCUGGGGAGUUUUUGCACUGACUCCUGGAGACACUUGACAUUAACUCUGUCCAUUUGCCUUCAAGUUUCACAUGCAGAAAAGGGAAACAUGCGUUUUCUAGCAGACUAGAACAGUCCUGAGUGUUUCCUGUGAAUGUCUCUGUGUGGUGUACCACAGGUCUGUCAGAGUGGGAGGAAACAAAGGGCUUGGACUCAAACAGGACUUCCGGAAUGUUCUUUCAGACGAGUUGUGCUUGGUCCAAACUGAAACUUGGAUGGGUUUAUUUUUUUCACCUGUGAGUUGAGACUGUCGCUGUUUCUUGUGUUCUCACAGGACGUAAUUAGUCGCAUUUCCCACUGCUGUGACAAAAUGCCCGAGGGCAGCGAUGUGAGGAAGCUAGAAGGUUUAUUUUGGCUCAGGAUUUGAGGGUAGAGCCCAUCAUGGUGGGAAACACACCAUGGCAGGGAUGUGAAGCUGCUGGUUGCCUUCAUCCAGUGAGGAAGCAGAAACCGAUGCCAGUGCUCAGCUCCCACCUACUUUUUACUCCUCAGUGUGUAGAGCAGUGUCGCCCACAAUCAGGGCUGCUCUUCCUUCUUCCCUUAGCCCUCACAGACUUGCCCAGAGAUGUGUCUUCCAAACCCAGCCAUUUUGACAGUAAGUAUUAACUAUCGCAGGGACUAAAAUCCCCCCCACCCCCUGAAAGGACUAUUAAGUAAGCAUCAGGCAUGAUACCACUCACCUGUAUCCUGUAUCCCAACCCUUAAGAGACUGGGGCAGCAGGAGGGUUGUGAGUUCAAGGCCAGCCUAGGUCACUUGGAGAAACCCUAUCUCAAAGAAACAAAACAAAACAAAACAAAACAAAACAACAACAAAAACCCCGGGGGCUGGAGGUUUGCCUCAGAGUUAAGAACAUGUGCUGCUCUUCCAGGGGAGCUGGAUUCAAUUUCCAGCACCUCUAUGGUGCUUCAUAACUCUGAUAACUGCAGCCUCAAGGGAUCUGAAGCCCUCUUCUGACCUUCCUGAGCACCAGACAUAUAGGAGGUGCACAUACAUAUAUGUAGGCAGAAACACACACGUAAGAUAAUAAAACAAAUGUUAAAAAGUUAAAAAAAAAAACCAAAGAGUUAGCAAAACCCAGACAAAAAAGUCAUAAUCAGGAUAGCUGAACAGGCUGUGAGUUUCAUCUCUCUGCCCUCAGCAAGAUAUCCUAAGGGAGAAACAGCAAGGACGACAGGGUGUGAUAAGAUGAAAUAAUCAUAUUUUGCACUUAAGUAAAAAACAGUUUUAGAUCAUAGAUCUUCUUCCUACUUGCUGUGCAGUGUUGGGCAGGUUUCAUACUUGCUAAGGUUUUCAUUUUCAUAUUCAAGGCUAAAGGGUUAGAUAGACGAAUCAAUGGUCGAAUCAAAGGACGGGAGUUUGGUUCCAAGAACUUGAGGGUAGCUCAUUUCCAUAGGAACAGGGAUCUGAUGCCCUCUUCUGGUCUCUAUGGGCACUGCACUCAGGUACACACACACACACACACACACACACACACAUUUAAAAAGAAAAUAAGGUCAUUGCACAACACAGUUAAGGACAGUUACUUGUAAGUUAAUAUGAGGGUUAAAUGAAGAUGAUAUUUAUGAAGUUCCUAGAAAAUAUCUUACACAGAUCAAAAAGACCAAGAAGAUGAAAUUGCUUCUGUUUGAAUUAUAGUUUAACUACUUACUCAUAAAAAUGACUAAUAUUUUCACGUUAACACAAGUGAAACUUCUGUGUAGAGAUGUAUUGAUUUCUCUAAAGCUCUACUCUAUAAAGAACGCUCUGAAGACAGGGAUGGGAUUGUGGGCAGUGUUUGGUAUCCUGGCUUAGAGUUGACCCUAUGCUAUGUACUCUGGAAGUGAACACUUCUUUAUUGUUUUUAGUGGUGCUGAGAAUCUGGAAUUUCCAGUCCAGAGAGACGCCUCGGUGACUAAAAGUGUAUACUGUGUUUGUAGAAGAUCUCAACACGUACAUCAGGUAGUUCACAACUGUCUACAGCUUCCGCUCAAGGGAAAUCUGCUAUUCUCUUUGGCUUCUCCAAGAAAAUGAAUGCAUUGCAUAGAUACAACACACACACACACACACACACACACACACACACACUCAUAUGUACGUUUAAUUUUUUAACUAAUUAAAGUUUAUGUGCAUGUGAGUUUUGACCGCAUGUAUGUUUGUGAUUGGUCCAAGCUCUGCUGGAGGCUGUUGCAUUGCUGUACUUAGAUUAUCGACGGGAUGAUAAAGACAGUGGUCACACCUGCCAAUUCCAAGGACACAACACACAAUGCAGCCCUUCCUUUUUGGCUGUGCCCCCAGGAGAGCUCACAUAACCUCUCAGAGUCCUCCAAAGUUGCUUUCUCAGGCAUUUUAUCAGCGACCACAUGAAGCUCAAGAAGAAGAAAG